CGAGAUUCAUAGUUGUGCAUUGGUGGCUGAACUCUAGGAGAAGAGUUGGAGAGGGACUCGGCCACCAUGGUGGCAAAACCAAAGGUUGAUCUGAACGAAUCUUCCAAUUCCCUCAAGACUACACUAGAAGCCAUGGGGUCAUGGGAUGAAAAACUGUGCCAAGUCACCAAGAAGGCCAACGAGGCGAAGAAUGAGGCGACUGCAUGGAAGGUCAAGACUUAGAUAGGAAAGGCCGCCCUUGCCAAACAAGAAGGCGAAGCCGCAAAGAGGGAGAAGACAUUAUCCACGGAGUUGGAGAAUUUUCGAUCCUUUAUCUUGCCCAUAAGUAAGAAUUGUUUCUACCAGGGCCUCCGUCAGGAGGACUUUUUUCAUGGAGUUCCUCUGGAAGAUGACUGCUACGACAUGAAUAAGGAUAUCGUGGACGAAAAUUUGUUUUCGGUCAGCGAAGAUGAGGAGGAUGAUGCGAAGAACGCAGAAGGCCAAGGAGAUAACCUCGGUGCCGCACGGAUGGAAGUCGAACCCUCCGUAAAGAAGGUUAUUCAACCUUUGUAACUGAUACACUCAAAAUGUUCAUAGUAUCUUGGUCCCGGGAUGUGGGCACUGAAGAAUUUUAAUUUCUGCAUAUUUACCUUAUGUUUGAACACUUUAUAUUUGUAAUAGUUGCCUUUGCCGAUAACAUAUUUAACUCCGAUGACA
RNAcentral lists this long non-coding RNA (696 nucleotides) under Phaseolus vulgaris (common bean). RNAcentral describes it as "long non-coding RNA (PVUL_LNC002225)". Lineage: Eukaryota; Viridiplantae; Streptophyta; Magnoliopsida; Fabales; Fabaceae. The record is from RNAcentral.